This is a long non-coding RNA of Hyaena hyaena (striped hyena), 548 nucleotides long. RefSeq lists it as uncharacterized. The transcript has 2 exons. NCBI's taxonomy places the organism in Eukaryota, Metazoa, Chordata, Mammalia, Carnivora, Hyaenidae. The record is from RefSeq and is a predicted model, not a curated record.
CUGCCAUCUUCCCGAGACCAUUUCUACACUUCCGCCGUACAGUCUCUGUCAUUGGCUAGGGAGCUCUCGUUUCCGCCAACAGUAGGCGAUAUCUAAAGAAUGAAUGACCCGGGAGAGCCAUCAUGUGCAUAUUCCAGACCACUGGCACCCAGUAUCUCCAAGACCCCAGGCUUCAUGGAACGAGUGGCUUAUGAAGGACACCUGCACCCUAUCCUUGUUCUGACCAGUUCCUGGAUGCCUGAGAGGACAUGUGCACAGAGCACAAUCACCAGUAAAACCCCAGACUCCAAGAAAAGAUGAAACUUGUGGCCUUUUCCUUUCCAAGUCUCCUAGACGCCCAGUACGUAUCUCUCUAUCUUCAAUAAACUGCCAGCUCAUGUUUGAUUUGUAUCCUGCAUGAAGCCAAGGACCCUUUUGGCUGGGUCUGCAGACCCAGCCGGCCUGCAUCAGGAUCUCAGCCCACGCCUCCUCUCCUGAGUUUCCCUUUCUUUCAUGGGACUCAAAUCACCCACAUUUGCACAAGAAAGUAGGAUUUACCAACCCUGCCA